GGUCCAUUCCUGGUAAUUGCUGCAUAGUACAUAGCUACGCAGAGGAAAGUCUGGACUCCGAUUCGGUCCCGUAUGUCUGUAUUUAUUUUCGAAGUAAAUGUAGAUAACGGGAUAGGUACCGUUAAGUCUGCGGUUAGCAGAACGAGCGGCUGGGAGCAAUCUUAGGGAGAAAAGGGCAACAGAAAAAGACAGCCUACAGUUUAAUUACUGUACGGUGAUGCUGAAAUGGUGUGGUAAGAGCACACCGGGCUAGGUAGUAAUACCGAGUCGCUGGUAACCCCUACCUGGAGCAAUCCGCCCAAGGCGGAGCAUAGUCAAAUAAUUACCUCAAACACAGAAUCCGGCUUACGGGAUGGAUCAAAU
RNAcentral lists this RNase P RNA (363 nucleotides) under Candidatus Dojkabacteria bacterium. Its description in RNAcentral is "RNase P RNA component class A". It matches the Rfam family "Bacterial RNase P class A". From Rfam's summary of the family: Ribonuclease P (RNase P) is a ubiquitous endoribonuclease, found in archaea, bacteria and eukarya as well as chloroplasts and mitochondria. The record is from RNAcentral.